AUAGCUCAAUGGUAGAGCACUUGCCUAACAUGUGCAAGGCCCUGGGUUUGAUCCCCAGU
Molecule: transfer RNA, 59 nt
Filed under: Ictidomys tridecemlineatus (thirteen-lined ground squirrel)
Lineage: Eukaryota; Metazoa; Chordata; Mammalia; Rodentia; Sciuridae
Also listed under: 1 other name
Description: Spermophilus tridecemlineatus (thirteen-lined ground squirrel) tRNA
Source: Rfam by way of RNAcentral